GAUUGAUGGUGAAACUGUAAAACGUAAAGAGAGAGCGCGCGCGCGAGAGAGAGAGAGAGAGGGAAGAAAUCAGCGGAUGGCAAUGGCGAGGCGAGCUGGGAGCAGGAGCAAGAACGAGUCAGCAAUCACUAGAGGUGUCAACAAGGUUUUCGGAUUCGUCAGAGCGGCCGAAUUUGAGAUCCUCUGCGUUCUCUUCAUUAUCAUCGCCUUUAUCAUCUUCAAAGAUCUGGUCCGUUUUCUCUUCCUUCAUUUUUUAUUUAUUAAUUUGAUACUGCGUUUUAGUUCUUGCAAUGGAAUAUAUAUAUAUAUAUAUAUAUAUUUUUUUUUUUGAUCUCUUAAUGUUAAAUGGUAGUGAUUUCUGAACGUUGUUGCCUGAAAAACAAUAGAAAAAAACAAAAAAAAAAGUCUAUUUUGGGUAUCUGAUUUGAGACAUUUGAAUAAUAGCUAAACAAUUAUACAAGCAAGCUCCAAGAAGGAAACUGAAAUCUUUUUUAUUUUUUUAUUUUUUAUUUUUAUUUUUGUUUUUUUGGGGGUAAUAAACUGAAAUUUGGAUUUGGUAGGUAGCAAUGAAAAUGCACUUUUUUCUUCCAACAAUUUAAUAUGAGGAUCGAGAGAGCCUGCAAAGUUUGAUAAGAAAAUACCCAAGUUCUCUGGAAACAAAAAAUUCUAAGAGGACGAACUUGUUACAAAGAACACUAUGGACAAAAGGGAUGAGAUUCUUGGAACCUUUGUUUGAAUGAAUUUAGGAAUUUAGAAAUCUUAUUUUGGUUGGAAUUGGAUAGAACUACAGAGAAGAUUUCUUUAGGGGAAAAAAGUAGUGCUCAUACAUAUUAAGCUUUAUAGUUGGUUCGAGUUUGAUUGCAUGAAGGUGGUUGAAUCUGAGUGCUUGGAAGUAGAGCCUAAUUUCAGUUUUUUUAUUAAGCUUUAUCUCAAUUAUGUUAUAUCAUAUAUGUCUUAUGUGAAAUUAUCUGAGUUCCUCGACAUGUAUUCUUUUCUGUCUUUUUGUCCUAUUGAAAGCAAUAUUUUACCAAGUUUCUUAAUCAUGUGAGUCUUAGCUCCUUCCACUUGGACAUUUUAAUUAAAAUUUUGUGUUUUUUCAUUCAUUUUACUCAAAAGAAUUCAUCCCAUCAUGCUCAACUUUCCCUCCUCUUUUUCUGUUAGUGCUGCUUCCAACAUCAAAUAAGCUUGAACAUACUGCUUUUGAACCCAUCUGUUACUUUGUAGAAUAAAGCAUGGCUAACCUGAUGGUGGUACAUAGAAACUUCGCUUUACCAUUCCUCCGCUUUGUCCAUCUUGCUUUGUCCAUGGAUAACAUCCUGCACAAUGUAGUUAUUCCUAGGAAUCCAGAUUCUACAUGUACCAAAUAAUCAUUCUUUCACAACUAAUCAAGUAUUCAUCAUUUAUUUGACGAUUCCAUUAUCUUUAGUCUUUGUCUAAUUAACAUACUUCCAUUUGUAUUUGAUCUUAAUUUUACAUAGUAAUAUAGGAUAUUCCUCAAUUUUAGACUUUAGAAGCAUGGUCAGUGUAGCUUAUAGGUUAUUCAUGGUUCAGAAUUAUAUAUAUAUGUAAAGCUUUGAUAGAGAACCUGUAGUUUGCCCUAAACUUGACUAAAGUAUAAGAGCACAAGUGCACAUCAAGUAACUAAUUCAUCUGAACUAAGCAUAACUAGCUCAACCCAACCAUGAGGAAGUAGCCCCAAAUAACUGUUGUUAGCCUAAGAUUUGGUUUAAGAUUUUUACCACUGAUACAUGAUUAUAUAGCUUUAAGAUUGGUUUCAGCUAAUCGAAAAACAAUUCAGCUUACUCAUAUAAUGAACUAGUUGGGCAAUAGAGUAGGCCAUACAAGCUUCUUGAGAGAGAGAGCACAAAUGUUUUGACUUUGGAAAAUUGAUUUUGAUAUGAUGUCUGCAUGAAUCAUCUUAUUCCAAAAUUACACAAAAUAAACAGGGCUUAGCAAUAGAAGUCGUCAUUCAUGAAUCAUCUUAUUCCAAAAUUACACAAAAUAAACAGGGCUUAGCAAUAGAAGUCGUCAUUCAGGUUUACAAAUUAUAUGUAAAGGGAUAGAGAAAGAGAGCUAGUUAGGUUAGCUUGAUCUAUGGUGUCAAGAAAUACAUAAAAAAAAAAUUAAAAAAAAAUAAAGAAAAAGAUUAUUGAAACUAAACACCACUAUUACCCCAGUGCUUAUUAUUCUUUUCUAUGCAGGCUAGACAAAUGAUGAUUGUUUAGCAAUUUACUUUUUGUAUAUGUCCAAUAUGAAACCAAAGGUGGGGCCAAAAGUAUAUCCGUGAAGAGUUCCAAAAUGAAACUUUUGUAUGCUAAGAACAGAGUCCAACGUGAAUUUAGUGAAGCUAGCUUUGUCUCUUUUCCAUCUGCCUUUGCUCUACCAAAAACCAUCAGUUACUGUCUUAUAUAAUAUCCAUUCCAGGGCUUCCUUUGCUGAAACAACAGUCAUCACAAUUUUAAACAGAAUAACUUUGCUGUCACAUUAGGUGUCAAAAUUAUUUUUAUAGCCCAUUAUUCUGGAUGAAUAUUAGGUCUCUUUCUCUCCCUCUCCUAUUUGUAUAUAUAUAUAUAUAUAUACAUAUGCAUGAUAAAUUUCAUAAGAAAUUGUAUAUUUAUUAGUUUCAGGGAGGUCUCCCAUCAAAUAAUAUUGUAUGGCAAGUGGAUUAGCAGAACACGCAUAACUACUACUAAUAUAUAUAUCCUGCCCUUGUUGACUAAUAGGAUUGAUAGUUGGUUAGGUUAUUUGUUGCCAUAGUUAUUUGUUUAAGAAUAGAGACAUGGACUUAAAAAACUUUCGUUGGCCAAUCCUUUUCUGCAUUAUAGUCCAAGUCCAAAACCAGUAUUGACCACAUGCACUGCCUAUUUUUCUUCACAUAAUCCUAGGAACUAUAUGAUCCCAUUCACCUAGUUACACCUAACCCUUAAGCUGGCUUUGAAGAAAGCGACUUUGCAAUUCAUUUGCCUCCGCCAAAUCAAUUUUAAUUGUUCAGUAUUGGUAGUUUGGUAUGUUAUCUGUGGUUGAUUUCAACUAUAUCCAUUCUCCAAAACACAAAUUUUGAAGGGCUGAGUAGGGAGAAUUCCCAAAGUAUAAGAUGUGAGGAGAGCUAUGGAUGAAGAUUCAGAGGGUGCUUUCAAACAAACUCUGGAGGAAACUGGAGCCUGGAGAUCACAUCUACACAUGGAAGGGAGGCAAUACAAAAUCUUAUCAUGCAUAUAAACACUAUUCAUGGGAUAUUAUUUGCCUGCUUGUAUGAGACCCCAGGGAUAUAUAUUUUCGAUGACAAGGUGAUCCAGUUUGAUUGUCAUGGUGUGGUCUUUUCAUCCAUAGAAGAUUUUCUUUCUUGUGAAGAUGUCUAUCUCUUUGAAUAUGGUGUCAAUCCAGCUCUCUUCCUCACCAAAUUCCGGGAACAUACUUCCACCCUUGCCUCUGCCGAUCCACCUCAAGUUGUUCAGGACUGUACGGCCGUCCUUCUCAACUAUGGCGCCUCCAGUGACUAUUACCACUUCAUAAACAACGAUGAAGACUUUGCACUGUAUUGCAAAACAGGAUUGCUAGUAGUAGACAGCAUUGUUUUCAGCAGAAGUUGGCAAACAGCAUUUUUCUUGGCUGUUACUACUGCUGUCUUUCUUUCCCUACUGCAACUUGCCCCUGCUACUUUUACUGGUCUGGCAGCUAGAUGUCUCGGCGUUUACUAUGUUUGUAGAUUGGUUUCUGAUAUCGGAGCUCAUCCUAAUGUUAUCAAAAUUGAAGCAGAGAGAUUGCCAGUGGUUGAUGAGAUAUUGGCUUCUGGUGGUUUGGGCCGUAUUGAAUUCUUAAUGACCUGUUUUUAAGAAUACUAAUGUGUGCUUUUGCCUUUUUUUGUUUGCUAUUAAGUUUUGGUCUCAGACUCUUCCAGUGCUCUGGACUCUCGCAUGCUUCACACUUUUCUACUGGGCAGUAUUUGGAAAAAGGCUGCUUUCUAAUAAGAUACAUAAGAAGCAAAUGAAGCCUAAGGAUCACAUCCUCGCAUGGAGGCGGAACUGAAGGUAUAUAUGUGGGUGAUGGAGAGGUGAUUCACCUCGAUCGAGGAGAAGACCCUAUUGGUGGUGGUGGUCAAUCAACGCCAAAACUCAAGGGGGUACCUGUACCCUUGCCUCUACCAGUCCAACAGAAGAUGUCCUGCACCGUGCUCAUUUCCUCGGAAAGCAUGAUGGUUUUGGUGCCUACAAACUUUUCAACAACGGUGAAGACUUUGCAAUAUAUUGCAAACUGGCUUGCUGGCAAGGAAUGUCAUUGAUCUUGGCACGAGCGGGCAGAUAGCAACCCCAUUUGCUGUUAUUUAUGCAAUCCUUCUUUUUCCACGAGGAUUCCCAGCUAGUAAUUUUAUUGUUGUGUCAGCCAUGUGUUAUGUUAUAUACUCCAUCUUGCGAUUUAUUUAUGAUGCCAAAUAUUGUGGGAAUGCUUGUAAAGUUUCUGUUGAGAGAUUGGCCGCACUAUGGAGAGUUGGUAACUUUUGUUAUAGUUGUAUUGAUUCGUUUUGAAAGGAGAUAGAUUUUGAGGUUUUGAGUGAGGAUUAAGAUAAGUAAAUGCGUAGCUAAAUUUAUGAUUUACAAGAUUGACAACGGUUAUUGGUUGAGUUCUUAAGUAAUGAAAGAUCAUUGAUACAUUAGUUACAUGUUAAAGACAA
Molecule: long non-coding RNA, 4669 nt
Organism: Ziziphus jujuba (common jujube)
Lineage: Eukaryota; Viridiplantae; Streptophyta; Magnoliopsida; Rosales; Rhamnaceae
Exons: 5
Source: RefSeq, a predicted model, not a curated record